This 466-nucleotide ribosomal RNA is filed under the name uncultured bacterium. Its description in RNAcentral is "partial 16S ribosomal RNA". It matches the Rfam family "Bacterial small subunit ribosomal RNA", at positions 28 to 506 of the family's 1533-position model. The record is from RNAcentral.
GAUGAACGCUGGCGGCGUGCUUAACACAUGCAAGUCGAACGGAAAGGCUCCUGCUUGCAGGGGUACUCGAGUGGCGAACGGGUGAGUAACACGUGGGUUAUCUGCCCUGCACUUCGGGAUAAGCCUGGGAAACUGGGUCUAAUACCGGAUAGGACCACAUUUUGGAUGGUGUGGUGGAAAGUUUUUCGGUGUGGGAUGAGCUCGCGGCCUAUCAGCUUGUUGGUGGGGUAAUGGCCUACCAAGGCGUCGACGGGUAGCCGGCCUGAGAGGGUGUACGGCCACAUUGGGACUGAGAUACGGCCCAGACUCCUACGGGAGGCAGCAGUGGGGAAUAUUGCACAAUGGGCGCAAGCCUGAUGCAGCGACGCGGCGUGGGGGAUGAAGGCCUUCGGGUUGUAAACUCCUUUCGCUAGGGACGAAGCGUUUUUGUGACGGUACCUGGAGAAGAAGCACCGGCUAACUAAGU